Molecule: transfer RNA, 72 nt
Filed under: Magnusiomyces magnusii
Lineage: Eukaryota; Fungi; Ascomycota; Dipodascomycetes; Dipodascales; Dipodascaceae
Description: tRNA-Cys
Rfam family: tRNA
About the family: Transfer RNA (tRNA) molecules are approximately 80 nucleotides in length.
Source: RNAcentral
GGAGGUGUGCUAUAUGGUUUAGCGAUUGGAUUGCAAAUCUGAUUAAUAUAGGUUCAAAUCCUAUCUCCUCUU